UCCCUGUUAGGUGUAAGAUGAACAAAG
This 27-nucleotide non-coding RNA is filed under the name Cricetulus griseus (Chinese hamster). The record is from RNAcentral. Lineage: Eukaryota; Metazoa; Chordata; Mammalia; Rodentia; Cricetidae.